RNAcentral lists this ribosomal RNA (509 nucleotides) under uncultured bacterium. RNAcentral describes it as "partial 16S ribosomal RNA". It matches the Rfam family "Bacterial small subunit ribosomal RNA", at positions 355 to 857 of the family's 1533-position model. The record is from RNAcentral.
UGGGGAAUAUUGCACAAUGGGCGCAAGCCUGAUGCAGCCAUGCCGCGUGUGUGAAGAAGGCCUUCGGGUUGUAAAGCACUUUCAGCGAGGAGGAAGGUGGUGGACUUAAUACGUUCAUCAAUUGACGUUACUCGCAGAAGAAGCACCGGCUAACUCCGUGCCAGCAGCCGCGGUAAUACGGAGGGUGCAAGCGUUAAUCGGAAUUACUGGGCGUAAAGCGCACGCAGGCGGUUUGUUAAGUCAGAUGUGAAAUCCCCGGGCUCAACCUGGGAACUGCAUUUGAAACUGGCAAGCUAGAGUCUCGUAGAGGGGGUAGAAUUCCAGGUGUAGCGGUGAAAUGCGUAGAGAUCUGGAGGAAUACCGGUGGCGAAGGCGGCCCCCUGGACGAAGACUGACGCUCAGGUGCGAAAGCGUGGGGAGCAAACAGAUUAGNUACCCUGGUAGUCACGCUGUAAACGAUGUCGAUUUUGGAGGUUGUGCCCCUUGAGGCGUGGNUUCCGGAGCUAACG